UACGGGAGGCAGCAGUGGGGGAAUAUUGCACAAUGGGCGCAAGCCUGAUGCAGCCAUGCCGCGUGUAUGAAAAAGGCCUUCGGGUUGUGAAGUACUUUCAGUCGUGAGGAAGGUGUUAAGGUUAAUAACCUUAGCAAUUGACGUUAGCGACAGAAGAAGCACCGGCUAACUCCGUGCCAGCAGCCGCGGUAAUACGGAGGGUGCGAGCGUUAAUCGGAAUUACUGGGCGUAAAGGGCACGCAGGCGGUUAAUUAAGUUGGAUGUGAAAUCCCCGGGCUUAACCUGGGAAUGGCAUUCAAGACUGGUUAGCUAGAGUCUUGUAGAGGGGGUAGGAAUUCCAUGUGUAGCGGUGAAAUGCGUAGAGAUGUGGAGGAAUACCGGUGGCGAAGGCGGCCCCUGGACAAAGGCUGACGCUCAUGUGCGAAAGCGUGGGGAGCAAACAGGGAUUAGAUACC
RNAcentral lists this ribosomal RNA (455 nucleotides) under uncultured bacterium. RNAcentral's name for it is "bacterial SSU rRNA". It matches the Rfam family "Bacterial small subunit ribosomal RNA", at positions 340 to 786 of the family's 1533-position model. The record is from RNAcentral.